RNAcentral lists this unclassified non-coding RNA (359 nucleotides) under soil metagenome. RNAcentral describes it as "partial contains 5.8S ribosomal RNA, internal transcribed spacer 2, and large subunit ribosomal RNA". The stretch from base 1 to 121 matches the Rfam family "5.8S ribosomal RNA", at positions 35 to 154 of the family's 154-position model. The record is from RNAcentral.
GAUGAAGAACGUAGUGAAAUGCGAUAAGUAAUGCGAAUUGCAGAAUUUCCGUGAGUCAUCGAAUCUUUGAACGCACAUUGCGCCCGUCAGUAUUCUGGCGGGCAUGCCUGUUCGAGCGUCAUUACGCCCCUCAAGUCCCCUGUGGACUUGGUGUUGGGGAUCGGCGAGGCUGGUUUUCCAGCACAGCCGUCCCUUAAAUUAAUUGGCGGUCUCGCCGUGGCCCUCCUCUGCGCAGUAGUAAAACACUCGCAACAGGAGCCCGGCGCGGUCCACUGCCGUAAAACCCCCCAACUUUUUAUAGUUGACCUCGAAUCAGGUAGGACUACCCGCUGAACUUAAGCAUAUCAAUAAGCGGAGGA